AACGAACGCUGGCGGCGCGUCUUAAGCAUGCAAGUCGAACGGCAAGAGAGGAGCUUGCUUCUCUCCUAGAGUGGCGGACUGGUGAGGAACACGUGGGUAAUCUACCCUUAAGAUGGGGAUAGCUGCUAGAAAUAGCAGGUAAUACCGAAUACACUCGGCAUAUCACAAGAGGUGUUGAGGAAAGGAAGCUACGGCUUCGCUUGAGGAUGAGCUUGCGGGCCAUUAGCUAGUUGGUGAGGUAAAGGCCCACCAAGGCGACGAUGGGUAUCCAGCCUGAGAGGGUGACCGGACACAUUGGGACUGAGAUACGGCCCAAACUCCUACGGGAGGCAGCAGCUACGAAUAUUCCGCAAUGGACGGAAGUCUGACGGAGCGACGCCGCGUGGAUGAAGAAGGCUGAAAAGUUGUAAAAUCCUUUUGUUGAUGAAGAAUAAGGGUGAGAGGGAAUGCUCAUCUGAUGACGGUAAUCGACGAAUAAGCCCCGGCUAAUUACGUG
This 496-nucleotide ribosomal RNA is filed under the name uncultured bacterium. RNAcentral's name for it is "partial 16S ribosomal RNA". It matches the Rfam family "Bacterial small subunit ribosomal RNA", at positions 29 to 507 of the family's 1533-position model. The record is from RNAcentral.